AAUAUGUUGUUACUGACAACAUAACGGAGGUCAAGUUCAAUAAUGACGAUUUUUACUUUUACCGUUCAGGAGUUACGGUUCUUGAAAGUUUAAAAAAUGUCGUGUCCGUGCAUUUACUCAUGAACCAGUCAACCAAACCUUUUAAAAUUUUAAUAUGUUGUUACUGACAACAAAAUGGAGAUCAAGUUCAAUAAUGACGAUUUUGACUUUUACCGUUCAGGAGUUACGGUUGUUUGUCCUGCUAGAGGGUCAUUUUCUAUCUAGUUUAUAUGUUGUUAUUGUUGACAACAUGGAAGUCAAGUUUGAUAUUGAUAAUCAUAAAUUUUACCUAUUAGGAGUUUUGGUCCUUGUAAUAUUGAUAAAUGCCAGAACACAAAUAAAUGUUAAAGAAUCCGG
Molecule: long non-coding RNA, 396 nt
Filed under: Mytilus galloprovincialis (Mediterranean mussel)
Lineage: Eukaryota; Metazoa; Mollusca; Bivalvia; Mytilida; Mytilidae
Source: RNAcentral